UGGAGGCCGGUGUGUGUGAGUGUGUGUGUGUGCAGGUCUUUCCGGGCCGGGGCGGAUUAUAACAGAUAUUUAUCGACCAGAUGAGUAAACUUUUCUAAGAAUAAAACUACAAUUUUGUCCUGUGUGUGAUGGAACCAGGUCCACGGAGAAGAGGGGAAACAAAACACCCUCAUCUUCAUCAUGCUCGACCAGGUCAGGGGCCUCGUUUAUAAACCAGUGCAAAGGAUUCAUGCUACCUGUGCAAAAAGUGUAGGUGUUUGAAAGGCCGGCCCCUCGCUCACCCCGUUAUCCUCCAGCAGAGUGGAGUUCCUGUGUUUGCCGCUCGGCUUCCUCACGAACAGCUUCUCAGCGGACGCCUGGUCCUCGUUCAGCAUGCUCUUCCCGGCGUUGAUCACCCUGACGGAGACAAGAGGCGGAGGAGGAAAGUGAUUUCUCAGGCCACAAUAACAACGAGGAGCGACACAGACUGGCAAGGAACCAGGGCUCUUUACAAGUGGAGGACUUCUCCCCUUCAGAGGCCUCUGAC
Pleuronectes platessa (European plaice) is the source of this 526-nucleotide long non-coding RNA. RefSeq lists it as uncharacterized. NCBI's taxonomy places the organism in Eukaryota, Metazoa, Chordata, Actinopteri, Pleuronectiformes, Pleuronectidae. The transcript is spliced from 3 exons. The record is from RefSeq and is a predicted model, not a curated record.